AAUGAGGAUAAUUUACAAACCUUACCGAAGCAAUUGGAGGGCAAGUCUGGUGCCAGCAGCCGCGGUAAUUCCAGCUCCAAAAGCGUAUAUUAAAGUUGUUGCAGUUAAAAAGCUCGUAGUUGAAGUUCUGGCUGUAUUGGGCCUCUGCACUCGAUGCGGAGGAACCAGCAGUCAUCCGCUUGCAAAUACAUGUCCUUCCUUAACCGGUAGGCUGUAUAAGUAAGCACUUUACCUUGAGAAAAACAGAGUGUUCCAGGCAGGUUUGUCCGGAAUGCGUUAGCAUGGAAUAAUAGAAUAUGACUGAAGUCGAUUUAUUGGUUAAAGGCUUUAGUAAUGAUUAAUAGGAACAAUCGGGGGCAUUGGUACUUGUCAGUCAGAGGUGAAAUUCUAGGAUUUGACAAAGACUAACUGAUGCGAAAGCGUUUGCCAAGAAUGUUUUCAUUAAUCAAAGAACGAAAGUUAGGGGAUCAAAGACGAUCAGAUACCGUCCUAGUCUU
This 497-nucleotide ribosomal RNA is filed under the name uncultured eukaryote. RNAcentral's name for it is "SSU rRNA". It matches the Rfam family "Eukaryotic small subunit ribosomal RNA", at positions 513 to 1027 of the family's 1831-position model. The record is from RNAcentral.